RNAcentral lists this unclassified non-coding RNA (325 nucleotides) under uncultured Metacordyceps. RNAcentral describes it as "sequence contains ITS1". The stretch from base 1 to 105 matches the Rfam family "5.8S ribosomal RNA", at positions 50 to 154 of the family's 154-position model. The record is from RNAcentral. Lineage: Eukaryota; Fungi; Ascomycota; Sordariomycetes; Hypocreales; Clavicipitaceae.
GAAAUGCGAUAAGUAAUGUGAAUUGCAGAAUUCAGUGAAUCAUCGAAUCUUUGAACGCACAUUGCGCCCGCCAGUAUUCUGGCGGGCAUGCCUGUUCGAGCGUCAUUUCAACCCUCAAGCCCCCGCGCUUGGUGUUGGGUGCCGGCGUCAGCGUCUCCCUCCAGAGCGCCCGCCGCCCCCGAAAUUGAUUGGCGGCCUCGUCGCAGCCUCCCUUGCGUAGUAACAUACCACCUCGCAUGGCGGAGCGCGGCGCGGCCACUGCCGUAAAACACCCCAAUUUCUCAGAGUUGACCUCGGAUCAGGUAGGAAUACCCGCUGAACUUAA